Molecule: ribosomal RNA, 336 nt
Filed under: uncultured Acidobacteriota bacterium
Lineage: Bacteria; Pseudomonadati; Acidobacteriota
Description: bacterial SSU rRNA
Rfam family: Bacterial small subunit ribosomal RNA
Source: RNAcentral
GCAUGGCUGUCGUCAGCUCGUGUCGUGAGAUGUUGGGUUAAGUCCCGCAACGAGCGCAACCCUUGCCUCCUGUUGCUAACGAGUAAAGUCGAGCACUCUGGAGAGACUGCCGGUGAUAAACCGGAGGAAGGUGGGGAUGACGUCAAGUCCUCAUGGCCUUUAUGCCCCGGGCUACACACGUGCUACAAUGGCUGGUACAAAGGGUUGCAAAGCCGCGAGGUGGAGCUAAUCCCAAAAAGCCAGUCCCAGUUCGGAUUGCAGUCUGCAACUCGACUGCAUGAAGUUGGAAUCGCUAGUAAUCGCGGAUCAGCACGCCGCGGUGAAUACGUUCCCGGG